GAAUAUGAUUUGGAACAAACUUCCUAAGUCAUAUUCAUAUGCUUUGGCCAAAGACUUUAAAAUCAUAUCUUAGAGUAUUCUCUUUCCACCAUGGAAGGUUAGAGAUCCCUUGUUGUGCAUUCAUAUGCCUACACGACUAGAUAGCUUGACCUCAACAAUGCCGUGGACACUCCGAUGGAAUGCCAUUGACAUAAUCAAAGAUCAAGGACCUAACCAUUAGACAUCUAUGAUGCCUCAGGUCAAAGGACUACUUUGCAUAUUGCAACUUUAGAGUUCAUACAUGACAUGUAUGUUCAAACUCUCUUUUGAUCGUUGUUCAGUGUACUCGAUUACUCUUUCGAGCACCUAUGUGUUUGUCUUAGUGUACAACACUAAAUGACUUGAGACUAGUCAUACUCACACUUGAGUCAACAUAACACAUACUAACCUUAGCGGAUUGUCAAUGCCCAAUUGGCAAUCCUAUGGCUAGGAAC
RNAcentral lists this long non-coding RNA (473 nucleotides) under Malus domestica (apple). RNAcentral's name for it is "long non-coding RNA (MDOM_LNC000022)". The record is from RNAcentral. Lineage: Eukaryota; Viridiplantae; Streptophyta; Magnoliopsida; Rosales; Rosaceae.